RNAcentral lists this ribosomal RNA (926 nucleotides) under Enterobacter kobei. RNAcentral describes it as "bacterial SSU rRNA". It matches the Rfam family "Bacterial small subunit ribosomal RNA", at positions 606 to 1532 of the family's 1533-position model. The record is from RNAcentral. Lineage: Bacteria; Pseudomonadati; Pseudomonadota; Gammaproteobacteria; Enterobacterales; Enterobacteriaceae.
GGCUCAACCUGGGAACUGCAUUCGAAACUGGCAGGCUAGAGUCUUGUAGAGGGGGGUAGAAUUCCAGGUGUAGCGGUGAAAUGCGUAGAGAUCUGGAGGAAUACCGGUGGCGAAGGCGGCCCCCUGGACAAAGACUGACGCUCAGGUGCGAAAGCGUGGGGAGCAAACAGGAUUAGAUACCCUGGUAGUCCACGCCGUAAACGAUGUCGACUUGGAGGUUGUGCCCUUGAGGCGUGGCUUCCGGAGCUAACGCGUUAAGUCGACCGCCUGGGGAGUACGGCCGCAAGGUUAAAACUCAAAUGAAUUGACGGGGGCCCGCACAAGCGGUGGAGCAUGUGGUUUAAUUCGAUGCAACGCGAAGAACCUUACCUACUCUUGACAUCCAGAGAACUUUCCAGAGAUGGAUUGGUGCCUUCGGGAACUCUGAGACAGGUGCUGCAUGGCUGUCGUCAGCUCGUGUUGUGAAAUGUUGGGUUAAGUCCCGCAACGAGCGCAACCCUUAUCCUUUGUUGCCAGCGGUUAGGCCGGGAACUCAAAGGAGACUGCCAGUGAUAAACUGGAGGAAGGUGGGGAUGACGUCAAGUCAUCAUGGCCCUUACGAGUAGGGCUACACACGUGCUACAAUGGCGCAUACAAAGAGAAGCGACCUCGCGAGAGCAAGCGGACCUCAUAAAGUGCGUCGUAGUCCGGAUUGGAGUCUGCAACUCGACUCCAUGAAGUCGGAAUCGCUAGUAAUCGUAGAUCAGAAUGCUACGGUGAAUACGUUCCCGGGCCUUGUACACACCGCCCGUCACACCAUGGGAGUGGGUUGCAAAAGAAGUAGGUAGCUUAACCUUCGGGAGGGCGCUUACCACUUUGUGAUUCAUGACUGGGGUGAAGUCGUAACAAGGUAACCGUAGGGGAACCUGCGGUUGGAUCACCUCCUU